GUCGAACGGACUCAUAUUGAAACCUAGUGAUUUAUGAGUUAGUGGCGGACGGGUGAGUAACGCGUGGAUAACCUGCCGUAUACCGGGGGAUAACACUUAGAAAUAGGUGCUAAUACCGCAUAAGCGCACGGCUCCGCAUGGGGCAGUGUGAAAAACUCCGGUGGUAUACGAUGGAUCCGCGUCUGAUUAGCUAGUUGGCGGGGUAACGGCCCACCAAGGCAGCGAUCAGUAGCCGGCCUGAGAGGGUGGACGGCCACAUUGGGACUGAGACACGGCCCAAACUCCUACGGGAGGCAGCAGUGGGGAAUAUUGCACAAUGGGGGAAACCCUGAUGCAGCGACGCCGCGUGAGUGAAGAAGUAUCUCGGUACGUAAAGCUCUAUCAGCAGGGAAGAAAAUGACGGUACCUGACUAAGAAGCCCCGGCUAACUACGUGCCAGCAGCCGCGGUAAUACGUAGGGGGCAAGCGUUAUCCGGAUUUACUGGGUGUAAAGGGAGCGUAGACGGCAGCACAAGUCUGGAGUGAAAUCCCGGGGCUUAACCCCGGAACUGCUUUGGAAACUGUGCGGCUGGAGUGCAGGAGGGGUAAGCGGAAUUCCUAGUGUAGCGGUGAAAUGCGUAGAUAUUAGGAGGAACACCGGUGGCGAAGGCGGCUUACUGGACUGUAACUGACGUUGAGGCUCGAAAGCGUGGGGAGCAAACAGGAUUAGAUACCCUGGUAGUCCACGCCGUAAACGAUGAUUACUAGGUGUCGGGGGAUCAAGGUCCUCCGGUGCCGGCGCAAACGCAUUA
This 791-nucleotide ribosomal RNA is filed under the name uncultured bacterium. RNAcentral's name for it is "bacterial SSU rRNA". It matches the Rfam family "Bacterial small subunit ribosomal RNA", at positions 61 to 862 of the family's 1533-position model. The record is from RNAcentral.